Molecule: ribosomal RNA, 620 nt
Filed under: uncultured Methylobacter sp.
Lineage: Bacteria; Pseudomonadati; Pseudomonadota; Gammaproteobacteria; Methylococcales; Methylococcaceae
Description: bacterial SSU rRNA
Rfam family: Bacterial small subunit ribosomal RNA
Source: RNAcentral
UCAGCCACACUGGGGCUGAGACACGGCCCAGACUCNUACGGGAGGCAGCAGUGGGGAAUAUUGGACAAUGGGCGAAAGCCUGAUCCAGCAAUACCGCGUGUGUGAAGAAGGCCUUAGGGUUGUAAAGCACUUUCAAUGGGGAGGAAAACCUGCCGGUCAAUACCCGGUAGCUUGACAUUACCUUUAGAAGAAGCACCGGCUAACUCCGUGCCAGCAGCCGCGGUAAUACGGAGGGUGCGAGCGUUAAUCGGAAUUACUGGGCGUAAAGCGUGCGUAGGUGGUUCGUUAAGUCAGAUGUGAAAGCCCUGGGCUCAACCUGGGAACUGCAUUUGAAACUGGCGGACUAGAGUUUAGUAGAGGGGAGUGGAAUUUCAGGUGUAGCGGUGAAAUGCGUAGAUAUCUGAAGGAACACCAGUGGCGAAGGCGACUCCCUGGACUAAAACUGACGCUGAGGUACGAAAGCGUGGGUAGCAAACAGGAUUAGAUACCCUGGUAGUCCACGCCGUAAACGAUGUCGACUAGCCGUUGGUCCUAUUUACAGGAUUAGUGGCGCAGCUAACGCAUUAAGUCGACCGCCUGGGGAGUACGGCCGCAAGGUUAAAACUCAAAUGAAUUGACGG